GACGAACGCUGGCGGCGUGCUUAACACAUGCAAGUCGAACGGAAAGGCCCUGCUUUUGUGGGGUGCUCGAGUGGCGAACGGGUGAGUAACACGUGAGUAACCUGCCCUUGACUUUGGGAUAACUUCAGGAAACUGGGGCUAAUACCGGAUAGGAGCUCCUGCUUCAUGGUGGGGGUUGGAAAGUUUCGGCGGUUGGGGAUGGACUCGCGGCUUAUCAGCUUGUUGGUGGGGUAGUGGCUUACCAAGGCUUUGACGGGUAGCCGGCCUGAGAGGGUGACCGGCCACAUUGGGACUGAGAUACGGCCCAGACUCCUACGGGCGGCAGCAGUGGGGAAUAUUGCACAAUGGGCGGAAGCCUGAUGCAGCAACGCCGCGUGCGGGAUGACGGCCGUCGGGUUGUAAACCGCUUUCGCCUGUGACGAAGCGUGAGUGACGGUAAUGGGUAAAGAAGCACCGGCUAACUACGUG
RNAcentral lists this ribosomal RNA (468 nucleotides) under uncultured bacterium. RNAcentral's name for it is "partial 16S ribosomal RNA". It matches the Rfam family "Bacterial small subunit ribosomal RNA", at positions 28 to 507 of the family's 1533-position model. The record is from RNAcentral.